GAUGAAGAACGCAGCGAAAUGCGAUAAGUAAUGUGAAUUGCAGAAUUCAGUGAAUCAUCGAAUCUUUGAACGCACAUUGCGCCCGCCAGUAUUCUUGCGGGCAUGCCUGUUCGAGCGUCAUUACAACCCUCAGGCCCCCGGGCCUGGCGUUGGGGAUCGGCGGAGCCCCCCGUGGGCACACGCCGUCCCCCAAAUACAGUGGCGGUCCCGCCGCAGCUUCCAUCGCGUAGUAGCUAACACCUCGCGACUGGAGAGCGGCGCGGCCACGCCGUAAAACACCCAACUCUUCUGAAGUUGACCUCGAAUCAGGUAGGAAUACCCGCUGAACUUAAGCAUAUCAAUAAGCGGAGGA
This 352-nucleotide unclassified non-coding RNA is filed under the name soil metagenome. Its description in RNAcentral is "partial contains 5.8S ribosomal RNA, internal transcribed spacer 2, and large subunit ribosomal RNA". The stretch from base 1 to 120 matches the Rfam family "5.8S ribosomal RNA", at positions 35 to 154 of the family's 154-position model. The record is from RNAcentral.